UGGGGCGGAGGGCGCAGUGG
Molecule: unclassified non-coding RNA, 20 nt
Filed under: Mus musculus (house mouse)
Lineage: Eukaryota; Metazoa; Chordata; Mammalia; Rodentia; Muridae
Description: oocyte_clustered_small_RNA8618
Source: RNAcentral